RNAcentral lists this ribosomal RNA (225 nucleotides) under uncultured eukaryote. Its description in RNAcentral is "partial large subunit ribosomal RNA". It matches the Rfam family "Bacterial large subunit ribosomal RNA", at positions 2255 to 2479 of the family's 2925-position model. The record is from RNAcentral.
UUUCAGGCGGGCAGUUCGACUGGGGCGGUCGCCUCCUAAACGGUAACGGAGGCGUACAAAGGUUUCCUCUGAACGAAUAGAAAUCGUAUCUAGAGUAUAAAGGCAUAAGGAGGCUUGACUGUGAGACCUACAAGUCGAGCAGGGACGAAAGUCGGUCUUAGUGAUCUGACGGUACCGAGUGGAAAGGCCGUCACUCAACGGAUAAAAGUUACUCUAGGGAUAACA